CUUUGACUUUGGCCGCGUGGUAAGUACGACGUGCUACCUGCUCGGUAUGGCGUCGUGGGCACUGUGCCGGAUUCGAUAUCGCGAGCGACGAAUCCUCGCCGAUAAAGCAGCAGGUCAGCGACGAGGAAUCCGCCCGAAAGGCACCUCCUCCGCGUUGCCCCCCGCGCCGUGCGCUGCUCGCAUGGCGCCUCCAGCCUCGGUGGCGGUGGUGGUGCCUCCACCUCCACCUCUUCCCCCUGUCGCUAGAUCCUCCAGCGGCGCACCACCUUGCCGCCCCGGCCCUCCGCCAUAGCAGACGCCGCGUGCUCGGAGUCCCAGAACCUGCGCCUGGACGGUGAGGAUGACUAGGACGAGGUCCUCGACGCGGGCUAGGGACCGGUUGCUCCGGGCGCCUGCGAGGCGGAGGGGGACGACGACUACGGGGUGGUGUUCUGGUCCCCGCCCACCGGGACGAGGUCCGCUCCGCCUUUUCCGGCAUCCAGGAGUAAGAUUCGAUACGACAAUCUUUGAUUGCUUGAUGGCGACAACCUGUAGGUCUAGAAGUCCUUUGUACACAACACCGUGUCCUCCGCCGCCAACCAAAAUCUGUAUUUUGUGAUAUUUAUUUUUGCAGCAACAGCCUAUGGUUUUGCUUGAAACAUCUUUCUUUCAGUUUGUUUACUCUGACCAGCUUGAUCUUGCGUGUUAUGAAAGGAGGAGCAAGCGCCAGAAGCAAAAGAAUCGAGCCACCUCUAAUCAGGCCUAUGCUUAAACCUGCAGAAGAAGUUAAUAUUCAUAUAUAAAGAGACGAAGUCAUUACAUUUUACCCUAUGGAGUUUAAUUGGGAAAUAUUGAAUUAGUAAAUGAUUAUCAGCAAGGUUAGCGGUGGACACAAAGAUCACAAUACCUCUUGUUCCCUUGAUUAUUUUUUAUUGCUCUGUGUUCAUGUACUGACGUUCUUGUUCUUGUUAUACAGAUCGUAUCUUAUGAUUGCAAGGUUUAGGUUUUGAUAAUUGCUACUGAUGCAUUGUGCCAUUUAAUUGGUUUCCAAGAUUUGAUCGAUCUGCAUUGUACUUGGGGAAAUUUGAUCAGAGGAACUUUUACUAUGACCGGGUUUCGUGGGAGGAUUACUGCAUAACGCUGCUGCCUAGGAACUAUGAGUUUUACUGGAGUUUGCUAAUAUUUUCUAAUUACCUAGAUUUCACAGUUUUGUGCAUAAAACGACUAUCAACCUCACAGACUGGCAUUAGUGUCUUUGAAUUUGAACAGACAUGCAACUCCGGUCCAUAAACUUGAGAAUCCCACAUGUAGCAGUAUAUACCUAAAUUAAGUUAUAGGUCGUGGGUUUUCAUAGCUCGGAUAUGUGUGACUGAUCUUACACAUGCGCUUCUGCAAGGAGAGAAUGAGAAUCAAAUGAGAGAGAAAACUGACAAUGCCUUGGUUCAUUUCUAUGUCUCAUCUAUCUAUUUAAACAAUGGCUCGAUCAGUUUAGAUACAUUGAUGUGUUUGUACUUUUGAGCAGGAGUUGCUUUAUUUAAAUUAUCAUGCAUUUCCUUUGUUUCUCCUUUUUCUGUGAAAAAAAAAAUGAAAAUCAUGUAAAUCUCCACAAUCACUUUAGCAUCUAUGCCCUUGUAAAUAAAAUAGGUACAUAUAGAUAGUUUUAGUUGAAAUUCCAGUGGUACUAACCUAUGUAUAGCCAGUUUUAUGAGUAUAUCCUGAUCAUUUGUUGAAUCCUCUAUUCUGGUUUAUAUUUGUGCAGAAGCUCUAACUGCUGUCGCAUUGGUGUGCAGUAUGUGCUUUCUCCAUGGAGUGCGUUCGAGGACAGGAUUGAUGGGAAUAGGUUACCCUACUGCUGCAUGGCUUUACAACGAGCAGAUUAUGGGAUCUGAGUAGGACCUUCGAAUGAUACUAUUCAUUCUGAACCCUUGUGACAAGCUGAUUACGGAAACAGUUCAUUUUACCCAAAACUAUGCAGAGAUUGUUCCUAUAAGGCGUACACAGUCAACUCUGUGGAUGAUCUCUACAAUCCUUUUGCAUCAAUGUACGUUGGAGCAGCUUACUUGGGAUGGUUGUCGCAAUAUGAAGGAAGCAUUUACGAGGAGCAACGGCUGGAUAUUCUGGAGCAAGCGCCCAGACCAAGUUGAUGAGUUACCGCAGGCAACCUAUUUGAUGAAAUGCAUACAUGUAUAAGGUGUUCUCAUUAUUCUUGAGUUUUCCAUAUAUUUUUUAGGAGUUUCAAAUCUAACUCUGCGGCUCUCAGUUCCCUCUGUGUAACCUUCCUCACAAUUUCAAAUCCUAUGUCUGACGAUGUUUUGUUUUAUCCUAUGAGCUGUUGAACUAUGUAUGGAUUUGUAGAAUGUUGUGCUUAGUACCCCUGGCUUCUUGCUUCUCGAAGACCCUGGGAUUCCUUUUGUGCAAUACAAGCUGAGUACAAACAAA
Brachypodium distachyon (stiff brome) is the source of this 2418-nucleotide RNA transcript. RefSeq lists it as uncharacterized. The record is from RefSeq and is a predicted model, not a curated record. Lineage: Eukaryota; Viridiplantae; Streptophyta; Magnoliopsida; Poales; Poaceae. The transcript is spliced from 4 exons.